Molecule: ribosomal RNA, 547 nt
Filed under: uncultured bacterium
Lineage: Bacteria
Description: bacterial SSU rRNA
Rfam family: Bacterial small subunit ribosomal RNA
Source: RNAcentral
UAGGGAAUUUUUCACAAUGAGCGAAAGCUUGAUGGAGCAAUGCCGCGUGAACGAUGAAGGUCUUUAAGAUUGUAAAGUUCUUUUAUUUGGGAAGAAUGACUUUAGCAGGUAAUGGCUAGAGGUUGACUGUACCAUUUUGAAUAAGUGACGACUAACUAUGUGCCAGCAGUCGCGGUAAUACAUAGGUCGCAAGCGUUAUCCGGAUUUAUUGGGCGUAAAGCAAGCGCAGGCGGAUUGAAAAGUCUGGUGUUAAAGGCAGCUGCUUAACAGUUGUAUGCAUUGGAAACUAUUAAUCUAGAGUGUGGUAGGGAGUUUUGGAAUUUCAUGUGGAGCGGUGAAAUGCGUAGAUAUAUGAAGGAACACCAGUGGCGAAGGCGAAAACUUAGGCCAUUACUGACGCUUAGGCUUGAAAGUGUGGGGAGCAAAUAGGAUUAGAUACCCUAGUAGUCCACACCGUAAACGAUAGAUACUAGCUGUCGGGGCGAUCCCCUCGGUAGUGAAGUUAACACAUUAAGUAUCUCGCCUGGGUAGUACAUUCGCAAGAAUG